This 24-nucleotide non-coding RNA is filed under the name Rattus norvegicus (Norway rat). The record is from RNAcentral. Lineage: Eukaryota; Metazoa; Chordata; Mammalia; Rodentia; Muridae.
GCAAGCAGGAUUAAUAUGGGAUUA